This 253-nucleotide ribosomal RNA is filed under the name uncultured bacterium. Its description in RNAcentral is "partial 16S ribosomal RNA". It matches the Rfam family "Bacterial small subunit ribosomal RNA", at positions 524 to 776 of the family's 1533-position model. The record is from RNAcentral.
UACGAAGGGGGCUAGCGUUGCUCGGAAUGACUGGGCGUAAAGGGCGCGUAGGCGGCGAUCACGGUUAGAUGUGAAAUUCCUGGGCUUAACCUGGGGGCUGCAUUUGAUACGUGGUUGCUUGAGUGGGGAAGAGGGUCGUGGAAUUCCCAGUGUAGAGGUGAAAUUCGUAGAUAUUGGGAAGAACACCGGUGGCGAAGGCGGCGACCUGGUCCUUGACUGACGCUGAGGCGCGAAAGCGUGGGGAGCAAACAGG